ACACACACACACUAGUUCAUGAAUGCCUUAGAUUGUACAUUUGAAUGAAUUAUAUAUUUAUAUUUAAAUGUUAGCAAUUAUUUGUUGUGUGUGUGUGUGUGUGUCUGUGUGUCUGCGAUUCUGAGAUGUGUUUCUGCUUUAAGCCACAGUGUCUGUCUGCUCUUCCAUUCUAAUGAGGCUUCUCCCCCAUAUCCACCCCUCCCACCCCUUCCUCCAGGCCUGUUAGUUGGGCGUCAGUCUCAUGGCUGCUUGUUUGUAGAGGAAAAAUGGAUCCUUUAAACAGGCGCUGGCAGAGUGAAGGCGCUUUUAUGAGCUCUGAUAGAGGAUGCAGAGCAGUGGACGCCACCGGCUUAGGGUCACAGGUUCAGACCUGCUUAUUUGCUUAUUUGGAAAUAGCAUCAGCUUUUCCACGUCAAAACACAAACUGCACAAACCUAAUCCAUCCCGUAAUGUUUUCCUCACCCCCAUGUUGAAGAACUUGGACACUAGCUCGUACUUAGCGAUCAAUCACACUUGAAAUACAAACAAUAACAGUAACUACACUAGCAGCUCGCUAGGUUGUGUAAACUUUCCUGUGAGGUUCAUCCGUUCUGAGUCCUGAGUCACUGGUCAACAAUCAGGUAGUGUCAACACCAUGACCAGAGGUGACAUUGACGUGCCCUAGCUCAGGGCACAAGUGACUUUCAAUUUAACAACAACAAGAAAAAAAAAAAUUGAAGGAACAUUUCAGGAUUUCCUGUUUACUUGGAAUUUUAUGGUCGCGGAGAUGCACGUCCUCGCUCUGAAUUCCACGUUAGUGCCACUGUCCUGUAGCAAGCCACAUUUAACGCGGCGUAGCUCCACUAUAAAUACUCGGCCGUGGAUUUUGCCUCAGUGCAAUUCUAGGGCUCUGUGGGUUUUAAGUAUUUGUUGUGAGGGGAAAGAGUGGGUUUGCCCUUAAAAAUACAUGUGCGCAUGUAUUUAUAUCGCCAUCGUCUUCCGUCCGUCAGAGAACAACUAUUAUUUAACAAAAAUAAAAUAAAGAAAUAAAAACUAAAAGACAAACUUAACGUUGCUCGUGCUGUCAGGGGUAAUAGAACAGUCCUCUGGAAAUGCAUCCCAGAAGUGAAAUGAGGUCAGAGCAUCUGCAGACGCCUAAGGCAGCCACCAAGGCAUCUGUUGGUGAAUGUGGAGAUGGAGAGUCUGCUCUAUUCAUUUCAGUGAUAAAAUAAGAGCGGCCUCACUGUUGUUGUUGCUGUUUAAAUGAGUCACCUGGGUGCCAAAGACAGGUCGCUGCCCAGGCCAACCUAGCUGGUCUCAAGUGGAUUUGAACACAGUGUUCUUGCUAUGUGAAAAAAACACCCGUAAAUUUAACGCUUCAAAAACAAAGGGAAAAAAAUCACAGUGCUGUCAUCCAUAUUCAUUUCUGGAAUGCUUUCUUGUGUGUGAUUCCCUGCCAAAGAUAUGUCCUUUAAUAGGGCUGAAACUUGACUAUGCUCUUUUCCGGCAUGUAAAGUUAGAUAUUGCAGAGGAAACACAUUUGACAGCAUAAAUUACUCAUAAACAAUGUGAUUUUUAUGGCCCUAUUUUUCUCUAAGCGACUAUGUGAAUGUCAGGACAAUUUCUCUCCACCAUUCUCUCUCUGUCUCUCUCUCUCUCUCUCUCUCUCUCUCUCUCUCUCUCCCCUCCGUUAGCGCUCCUACUGAAAGGAUUGGGUGUCUCUGUACAGAGAUAUGACAUGCUUGGACAGGGCUGUGGAGUGCCAGUGGCGUCUCCUCCAUCAAGGCCAACACACAGGCCAAGCUUCAGGGAGGCACCUGUACUUUUGCCUUGACAUAACCUUUGACCUGGAUGGAGUUUGGAACAUUUGGAACAAACGUUCCCUUUCAUUGUGAAACCCCUCGGAGUACAUACAGUAUUUUCACAGCACUGGCAAGGACUCCUGCAUGGUAUAUUUGUCUGGUAUAUUUGUCCUUUCUCGGACUCCAGUUCAGUGCCUUGGAGCAGGCCAAACCCAUCGGGUGCUAGUGUCUGUCAACAGCACAUCCCUCAAAGGUGUACGAUUGACUGUGACUGUGAGUCUUCCCAAGUUCCUGUUGCAGAGUGAGGAAUCUGACCGUCAGUGACCGAAUUUGUCACCCGGUCAUUAAAUAUUCCGAGGUGAUCAACUACUACACAGGAAACACUCAGGCGCAUCCACUCCAGCAAAUGGAGAGUGCCAGGCCCCUGCUGCUCGCCCCUGAGCCUCCAGCGCAGGACACAAUCUCGCUGCAUCUCAUAAAUGUUUCACCUCUUCUGCCUGCGCUUGGCCCCGGCAAUGACAGCAUCCUCUCCGGGUGGUAAACGCCACUGCGCUCUGUGCUCUGUGGUGGUGUGCAAAUGAGGGGCAGACUCGCAAAUGAGCGCACCGACAGGCCGCCACUGCGCUCUGGAGCGCUCUCUUUUUUUGUUGGCCGUCUAGGCAUGCAGGGCAACACAAGCGAUUCCCAAUGUGGAAGACUCAGAAGCCCCGACAGCCUUGAACACACCGUCGUACAUUUUUCCUCCCCUUUUUUGUCCUCCGACGCUCACAGCUAGAUCCUGGACCAGGCGCUUGCCAGAGAGCUGGGCCUGCUGUCUCGUCACGCAGUGCGAGCUAAACAUGUUUGCCAUUAAAAUCUCCUUAUCUGC
Alosa alosa (allis shad) is the source of this 2649-nucleotide long non-coding RNA. RefSeq lists it as uncharacterized. The transcript is spliced from 4 exons. The record is from RefSeq and is a predicted model, not a curated record. Lineage: Eukaryota; Metazoa; Chordata; Actinopteri; Clupeiformes; Clupeidae.